This 433-nucleotide ribosomal RNA is filed under the name uncultured bacterium. RNAcentral describes it as "partial 16S ribosomal RNA". It matches the Rfam family "Bacterial small subunit ribosomal RNA", at positions 29 to 507 of the family's 1533-position model. The record is from RNAcentral.
AACGAACGCUGGCGGCAUGCCUAAUACAUGCCAGUCGAACGAGACCUUCGGGUCUAGUGGCGCACGGGUGCGUAACGCGUGGGAACCUUCCCUUAGGUUCGGAAUAACUCCCCGAAAGGGGUGCCAAUACCGGAUAAUGUCUUCGGACCAAUGAUUUAUCGCCUUUGGAUGGGCUCGCGUUGGAUUAGCUAGUUGGUAGGGUAAUAGCCUACCAAGGCGACGAUCCAUAGCUGGUCUGAGAGGAUGAUCAGCCACACUGGGACUGAGACACGGCCCAGACUCCUACGGGAGGCAGCAGUGGGGAAUAUUGGACAAUGGGCGGAAGCCUGAUCCAGCAAUGCCGCGUGAGUGAUGAAAGCCUUAGGGUUGUAAAGCUCUUUUACCCGGGAUGAUAAUGACAGUACCGGGAGAAUAAGCUCCGGCUAACUCCGUG